AACGAACGCUGGCGGCAGGCCUAACACAUGCAAGUCGAGCGAGGACUUCGGUUCUAGCGGCGGACGGGUGAGUAACGCGUGGGAAUGUGCCCUUCUCUACGGAAUAGCCCUGGGAAACUGGGAGUAAUACCGUAUACGCCCUAUUGGGGAAAGAUUUAUCGGAGAAGGAUCAGCCCGCGUUGGAUUAGGUAGUUGGUGGGGUAAUGGCCUACCAAGCCGACGAUCCAUAGCUGGGUUGAGAGGAUGAUCAGCCACACUGGGACUGAGACACGGCCCAGACUCCUACGGGAGGCAGCAGUGGGGAAUCUUAGACAAUGGGGGCAACCCUGAUCUAGCCAUGCCGCGUGAGUGAUGAAGGCCUUAGGGUUGUAAAGCUCUUUCAGCUGGGAAGAUAAUGACGGUACCAGCAGAAGAAGCCCCGGCUAACUCCGUG
RNAcentral lists this ribosomal RNA (433 nucleotides) under uncultured bacterium. Its description in RNAcentral is "partial 16S ribosomal RNA". It matches the Rfam family "Bacterial small subunit ribosomal RNA", at positions 29 to 507 of the family's 1533-position model. The record is from RNAcentral.